UUACAAAUGUCUAUCCAGCUGCUACUCACCCUUAUGGGACACGCAUCCAACACCUUGCGAGCAAGAACAGAAUAAAUGGGCAUGAUUCUCAUCCGAGUUCUGGCAUAAUAAACAAAAGGGCGAAGUGUGCAUAUUAAAAUGCAGCAUUCGGUCUUUUGUCAGAAGGCGCUCCUUAAGAAUCAGCCACGCAUAAAAAGCAUAUCUAGGAGUAUUGAAAUUGUUCCACACAAAUAAAACCAGGGGGGUUUAAUACGGUGGGAGCAUAAGUCCGCAUAAAUAGUGGCAAUCUUAACAGGACCCGAAACACCAUUAUUCCAACUGAUUUUAUCAUGAUCAUAAAUCCUGAGGCUACUACAUUCCUGUCUAAGCUCACAAAUCUGACGAAGAUUACUAGCACCAAAGUCCCAUUGGCCAUUCAACUGAACUCUGCUAAGAGGAGACAUGUUAUUCAACUCAAGGUCCAAGAGGAGAGAUGUGUCAAACCUGGUACUGGGCACCAGUUUAUGCAACAAGGAUCGUGCCAGAAAAGAAAAUUCGAGUUGCUGCCAGGAGAGUACGAGAUGAAUUGUUUAGCCAGAUCACGACUUUGAAGAAUACGACGCAAAGACCACGAACAUUUAUACGGGAUAGGCAUAGUCCAGAACCCUUUGCGCUUUAGAUUGUGGUGAUACAACCACUCAAUCCAAAGAGAGUCAUCCCGGUUAAUGAUUCUCCAAAGCUGAUACAGAAUAGC
This 733-nucleotide long non-coding RNA is filed under the name Daucus carota (carrot). RNAcentral describes it as "long non-coding RNA (DCAR_LNC002298)". The record is from RNAcentral. Lineage: Eukaryota; Viridiplantae; Streptophyta; Magnoliopsida; Apiales; Apiaceae.